Molecule: ribosomal RNA, 270 nt
Filed under: uncultured bacterium
Lineage: Bacteria
Description: partial 16S ribosomal RNA
Rfam family: Bacterial small subunit ribosomal RNA
Source: RNAcentral
AGCGAACGCUGGCGGCAGGCCUAAUACAUGCAAGUCGAACGGAUCCUUCGGGAUUAGUGGCGGACGGGUGAGUAACACGUGGGAACGUGCCCUUUGGUUCGGAACAACUCAGGGAAACUUGAGCUAAUACCGGAUGUGCCCUUCGGGGGAAAGAUUUAUCGCCAUUGGAGCGGCCCGCGUCUGAUUAGCUAGUUGGUGGGGUAAAGGCCCACCAAGGCGACGAUCAGUAGCUGGUCUGAGAGGAUGAUCAGCCACACUGGGACUGAGACA